This 268-nucleotide long non-coding RNA is filed under the name Lathyrus oleraceus (garden pea). Its description in RNAcentral is "Pisum sativum (pea) long non-coding RNA (PSAT_LNC008050)". The record is from RNAcentral. Lineage: Eukaryota; Viridiplantae; Streptophyta; Magnoliopsida; Fabales; Fabaceae.
AACUAAAGUAUAAAUUCAGGAGAAAGAUAUAAAAAGUUAAAUUUAACAAAGACGAAAUAAAAAACAUAACAAAUUAAAACAACCCUAACAAUAAAAAGAGAGGAAAAUAAACAAUACUACAAAAAUAAAAACACUCAGAAAAACAAAUUCAACAAAGACGAAAUAAAACAGACAACAAGUUAAAAUAACCCCAAUAGCAAAAAAGAGGAAAAUAAAUAAUACUACAAAAAUAAAAACACACAGAAAAGCUAACAUCAGUCAUAGUUAG